RNAcentral lists this ribosomal RNA (200 nucleotides) under uncultured bacterium. RNAcentral describes it as "partial 16S ribosomal RNA". It matches the Rfam family "Bacterial small subunit ribosomal RNA", at positions 524 to 724 of the family's 1533-position model. The record is from RNAcentral.
UACGUAGGGGGCGAGCGUUGUCCGGAUUUAUUGGGCGUAAAGAGCUCGUAGGCGGCUGUUCAAGUCGAACGUGAAAACUCGGAGCUCAACUCCGAGCCUGCGUUCGAUACUGGGCGGCUAGAGUCUGGUAGGGGGCCUGGAAUUCCUGGUGUAGCGGUGGAAUGCGCAGAUAUCAGGAGGAACACCGGUGGCGAAGGCGG